AGCAGCGUGGCUCGGUGGAAAGAGCAUGGGCUUGGGAGCCAGAGGUCAUGGGUUCGAAUCCCGGCUCUGCCA
This 72-nucleotide transfer RNA is filed under the name Ornithorhynchus anatinus (platypus). It matches the Rfam family "tRNA". From Rfam's summary of the family: Transfer RNA (tRNA) molecules are approximately 80 nucleotides in length. Their secondary structure includes four short double-helical elements and three loops (D, anti-codon, and T loops). The record is from Rfam by way of RNAcentral. Lineage: Eukaryota; Metazoa; Chordata; Mammalia; Monotremata; Ornithorhynchidae.